Molecule: long non-coding RNA, 808 nt
Filed under: Zea mays
Lineage: Eukaryota; Viridiplantae; Streptophyta; Magnoliopsida; Poales; Poaceae
Description: long non-coding RNA (ZMAY_LNC003857)
Source: RNAcentral
ACCUGGCCGACCACCACUGUCGUCAGCAUGCAGGAGUAGCGAGCAGGUCGGCGGCCUAGCCACGGCGCACCCAUUCACCGGAGGUCAUCUUCUCGCUCUCGCUCUCUGCCCCCUCUUCACAGAGGCUGAGAAGGGUGGAGUCGUGGAGAGAAGGAAUGAGGUACGGAUCGAACACUUAGUGGCCUGAGUUGUUGCACAUUAGUGCUGAUAGAAACAACGAAGUGGAUUCAUACGUAGGGCAGACCUUCUCGUUCUAGAAGUCUUAUAAAUCCUAUCUAACAGCUACAUGAACUCAGCAGUCUGCGGCAACAUCCUAGUAGCAAAGCGCCGAGCCAUGAUCUUUUUGUCUUCGCAUUCCGAGCGGAGCUGAGGACAAGUCGGCGUUGUGGGUUGGCCUACAUGCCCCUAUACAGCCGGCCGAAAAGAUUGCUCUAGAUGUAGCCCAACCCGUGAUGUGAAUGGAUUUUGUGGGUGGCGUGCAAGGAGCCAAGCAUAUAUGGAUAUAUAACAGGCCAUGAUCAUCUCCUCUCUCUAUAUAUCUUUUGAUCCAUCGAACUUUUUUUCUGCUCGUUUUUUUCGAAAAGGAUAUGAUCGAUGUUGUGUGUUACAUCUAUACGGCAUGCUGCUUCUCUUGUGAAUGCUUGGGUUCAAUUCGAAAUGCUUCUGCAGGGGGAGAAUUUAGGGAUUCGACGAAGCUCUAAGGCAGGUGCGCGUUCCGAUCCUCUUUCAAAGAUAGAUCGAUCGAGACUACAAUGACAUCGAUCUGCUUUUCUUUUGCUAACAAUGGGACCCUAGCCGCCUCUUUUCG